Molecule: ribosomal RNA, 322 nt
Filed under: uncultured eukaryote
Lineage: Eukaryota
Description: partial 18S ribosomal RNA
Rfam family: Eukaryotic small subunit ribosomal RNA
Source: RNAcentral
CCCUUAGAUGUUCUGGGCCGCACGCGUGCUACACUGAGUGGAUCAGCGGGUCAGGUUGCGCGAAAGCGUUUCCUAAUCUUUAAAUCCGCUCGUGAUGGGGAUUGACGGUUGCAAUUUUCUGUCAUGAACGAGGAAUACCUUGCAAGCGCGGGUCAUCAUCCCGCGCUGAAUACGUCCCUGCCCUUUGUACACACCGCCCGUCGCUCCUACCGAUUGAGUGGUCCGGUGAGGCUUUGGGAUCUGAGCGGAAAGAGCGUUUCGCUGUUUCUGCUCGGAAAACUCAGUCGAACCUUAUCAUUUAGAGGAAGGAGAAGUCGUAACA